GCCCCCGUAGCUCAGUGGAUAGAGCGACGGAUUCCUAAUCCGCAGGUCGUAGGUUCGAUUCCUACCGGGGGUACCA
This 76-nucleotide transfer RNA is filed under the name Desulfomonile tiedjei. Its description in RNAcentral is "tRNA-Arg". It matches the Rfam family "tRNA". From Rfam's summary of the family: Transfer RNA (tRNA) molecules are approximately 80 nucleotides in length. Their secondary structure includes four short double-helical elements and three loops (D, anti-codon, and T loops). Further hydrogen bonds mediate the characteristic L-shaped molecular structure. tRNAs have two regions of fundamental functional importance: the anti-codon, which is responsible for specific mRNA codon recognition, and the 3' end, to which the tRNAs corresponding amino acid is attached (by aminoacyl-tRNA synthetases). tRNAs cope with the degeneracy of the genetic code in two manners: having more than one tRNA (with a specific anti-codon) for a particular amino acid; and 'wobble' base-pairing, i.e. permitting non-standard base-pairing at the 3rd anti-codon position. Lineage: Bacteria; Pseudomonadati; Thermodesulfobacteriota; Desulfomonilia; Desulfomonilales; Desulfomonilaceae. The record is from RNAcentral.